AGUGAACGCUGGCGGCGUGCUUAAUACAUGCAAGUCGAACGAUGAAGUCCUAGCUUGCUAGGAUGGAUUAGUGGCGCACGGGUGAGUAAUAUAUAGUUAAUCUGCCUUGCACUGAGGAACAACAGUUGGAAACGAUUGCUAAUACCUCAUACUCCAACUUUACAUAAGUUAAGUUGGGAAAGUCUUUUCGGUGCAAGAUGAGACUAUAUCGUAUCAGCUAGUUGGUAAGGUAAUGGCUUACCAAGGCUAUGACGCGUAACUGGUCUGAGAGGAUGAUCAGUCACAUGGGAACUGAGACACGGUCCAAACUCCUACGGGAGGCAGCAGUAAGGAAUAUUGUGCAAUGGGGGAAACCCUGACGCAGCAACGCCGCGUGGAGGAUGACACUUUUCGGAGCGUAAACUCCUUUUGUUAGGGAAGAAUAAUGACGGUACCUAACGAAUAAGCACCGGCUAACUCCGUG
This 463-nucleotide ribosomal RNA is filed under the name uncultured bacterium. Its description in RNAcentral is "partial 16S ribosomal RNA". It matches the Rfam family "Bacterial small subunit ribosomal RNA", at positions 29 to 507 of the family's 1533-position model. The record is from RNAcentral.